RNAcentral lists this ribosomal RNA (419 nucleotides) under uncultured Pseudomonadota bacterium. RNAcentral's name for it is "bacterial SSU rRNA". It matches the Rfam family "Bacterial small subunit ribosomal RNA", at positions 31 to 497 of the family's 1533-position model. The record is from RNAcentral. Lineage: Bacteria; Pseudomonadati; Pseudomonadota.
GAACGCUGGCGGCAUGCUUCAACAUGCAAGUCGAACGAGAUCUUCGGAUCUAGUGGCGCACGGGUGAGUAACGCGUGGGAACCUACCUUUCAGUUCGGGAUAACAGUUGGAAACGACUGCUAAUACCGUAUACGCCCUCCGGGGGAAAGGUCAGCCGCUGAAAGAGGGGCCCGCGUCUGAUUAGCUUGUUGGUAGGGUAAAAGCCUACCAAGGCUUCGAUCAGUAGCUGGUCUGAGAGGAUGAUCAGCCACACUGGGACUGAGACACGGCCCAGACUCCUACGGGAGGCAGCAGUCGGGAAUAUUGGACAAUGGAGGAAACUCUGAUCCAGCAAUGCCGCGUGUGUGAUGAAGGCCCUAGGGUUGUAAAGCACUUUCAACGGUGAAGAUGAUGACGGUAGCCGUAGAAGAAGCCCCGGC